RNAcentral lists this ribosomal RNA (327 nucleotides) under uncultured eukaryote. RNAcentral's name for it is "partial 18S ribosomal RNA". It matches the Rfam family "Eukaryotic small subunit ribosomal RNA", at positions 1470 to 1796 of the family's 1831-position model. The record is from RNAcentral.
CCCUUAGAUGUUCUGGGCUGCACGCGCGCUACACUGAAGCGUUCAACGAGUAUUCACCUUGCCCGGGAGGGUUGGGUAAUCUUUUGAAAACGCUUCGUGAUGGGGAUAGAUUAUUGCAAUUAUUAAUCUUCAACGAGGAAUUCCUAGUAAGCGCGAGUCAUCAGCUCGUGCUGAUUACGUCCCUGCCCUUUGUACACACCACCCGUCGCUCCUACCGAUUGAGUGGUCCGGUGAGGCUUUGGGAUCUGAGCGGAAAGAGCGUUUCGCUGUUUCUGCUCGGAAAACUCAGUCGAACCUUAUCAUUUAGAGGAAGGAGAAGUCGUAACA